This 106-nucleotide ribosomal RNA is filed under the name Erinaceus europaeus (western European hedgehog). The record is from RNAcentral. Lineage: Eukaryota; Metazoa; Chordata; Mammalia; Eulipotyphla; Erinaceidae.
GUCUACAGCUAUACCACCUGGAACACACCUGAUAGUGUCUGAUCUCAGAAGCUAAGCAGGGUCGGGCUUGGUUAGUACUUGGAUGGGAGAAACAAAUAUUGAUACU